This 2275-nucleotide long non-coding RNA is filed under the name Daucus carota (carrot). RNAcentral describes it as "long non-coding RNA (DCAR_LNC005306)". The record is from RNAcentral. Lineage: Eukaryota; Viridiplantae; Streptophyta; Magnoliopsida; Apiales; Apiaceae.
UGCAUUCAUGCAUGCACUGUUACCAAUCUGCCUCAAACAAAAGUGAAAAGACAAUAUUUUAAUAAAAGAUACUUGGGAUUGUAGUUGCACUAACUUUUAUCUGAAUUUUGCUCAACAAUUCUGUUUUAGUAUAGAUGCAGGAGAUUAGAACUUCAAGAAGAAGUGCAAGUGCAGAGAUGUCAAGCCCAGAGGCAAAGUUGGGUUUGCAGGUUGAGGAUCUGUGGGAUAUUCAAGAACCUCAGCUCAGUCCUUCUGAGAAGCUUAAUGCUUGCUUUGAGAGCAUCCCUGUUUCGGCCUUCCCUCAUGCUGCUGAUUCUCAAGGUAUCGUGAUGUCGAGACUUGGUCUAAGUUCUCAUUUUUAUAGGCUUCGCGGUUUAAUAUAUCUAUGUCACUGUAUAAGUUUGAUUAGUGAGUUGUAUUUUUAUUGUUAUCGAGUCGAUGAUUAAACAUCUAAUUAUUUUUGUUGAUUUUUUAUUGAAAGCAAUGUGCCGUAAAGGUCGAGAUUUGGUCUCAGUUCUUAUAAAAAUAGUUCUCAUUUUUAUAGAUGUCGUGCUUAUCAGGGGCGGAUAUAGGAAUAGGCAAGGGGGACACGUGUCCCCCCUAAAUUUUUUUUUUACAUUUUUUCACCAUUUUAAAUUUUACAAAAUUAUAGAAGUGCCCCCACAAAAUUUAAAAAUAUAUAGUUGUUUUGUGAAAAUUUGCUUGGUGCCCCCCCAAAUUUACAUCCUAGAUCCGCCCUGUGUGCUUUAAUAUAUCUGUGUCAUUAUAUCAAUUUGAUUAGUGAGUUGUAUUUUUAUUACUAUUGAUUGGAUGAUUAAACAUCUAAAUAUUUUUGUUGAAAGUAAUGUGUCGUAAAGGUCGAGAUUUGGUCUCAGGUUCUCAUUUUAAUAGAGGGCGAGAUUUGGUCUCGGUUCUCAUUUAAUAGGCGUUACUUUAAUAUAUGUGUUAUGAUGUGUAAAUCUGAUUCGUGAGUUGUAAUUUUAUUGCUAUUGAGUGAAUGAUCAGACAUUCAAUUUUUGUUAAAUUUUUCUUUAAAUUAAUGUUGCUGUUCGCAGUUAUUGAGAUCAAUUCGGAUACUAGUGUGGCUGAAGCUGUGAAGUUAAUGGCCCAACAUAAUAUACUUAGUGUUCCUGUUGUGGAUGUUGAUGCACCAGAGGAUUCUACUUGGAUUGAUAGAUAUCUGGGCAUCAUAGAGUUUGCUGGCAUUGUUGUAUGGAUUCUGCAUCAGGUUCGAAUAUCUUUAGAGAGCUUGAAAUAAAUUGUUUGAUAAAUCUUUACUUUUCGAGUUGAAGUUUACAUCUUGUUUUCCUAAUUGCUGAUGACAGGGUAACAAACUUGAAUUAAAUGACAAAUGAUGAAAUUGAUAUGAAAUAAAAUCAGUAUUGAGGCAAAGUACCCUGAUUGUUUUCGUGUUUAAAGUGUUAUUAGUUGCUGCUAAUUGGAGCAUCUAGGUACUGUAGGAAGCACGAGUUCUGUUUCUGAAUUUGUCUGUCCAUUCGAUGAUAUAAACGAGACAGCCUUCAGCAACAAAAUUCAGAGAAUUAUGAGUUUCAUUUUCAAUCUUUUGCAGUCAGAAAAGAAGGAUGGAUCACCAAACACGGAUUUCAUACCUGAAUCAGAAGAAAUCAUGAGCCCUGCAAUUGCAAGAGCAGCUUCUGGAAUGUCUUCUCCAAGAUAUAAAGGCGCAAACCCUUUUGAUGAGGCCUCAAUCUCUGGAGACUUUUUUGAGGCUUUGACUAACUCUGAAUUUUAUAAGAAUGCCAAGGUAUGUUAAGCUUCUAUAUUAUUGUCUGUGUAAUGUCAAUCAUUUCCCCCCCCCCCUUUUUAAUCCCAAAUAUCCAANCUUUGACCAUGCACCUGCAUCAUCACACUAUCUUACACACACAACACUAUCUCCACCGUUCAAUAAUUGUCCAGAUAAAAACAAGCAAAGCUCACAUUUCAGGUCAGCAAUAAUGCAUUCAUGCAUGCACUGUUACCAAUCUGCCUCAAACAAAAGUGAAAAGACAAUAUUUUAAUAAAAGAUACUUGGGAUUGUAGUUGCACUAACUUUUAUCUGAAUUUUGCUCAACAAUUCUGUUUUAGUAUAGAUGCAGGAGAUUAGAACUUCAAGAAGAAGUGCAAGUGCAGAGAUGUCAAGCCCAGAGGCAAAGUUGGGUUUGCAGGUUGAGGAUCUGUGGGAUAUUCAAGAACCUCAGCUCAGUCCUUCUGAGAAGCUUAAUGCUUGCUUUGAGAGCAUCCCUGUUUCGGCCUUCCCUCAUGCUGCUGAUUCUCA